RNAcentral lists this microRNA precursor (73 nucleotides) under Corchorus capsularis. RNAcentral's name for it is "pre miRNA MIR473". It matches the Rfam family "MIR473 microRNA precursor family". The record is from Rfam by way of RNAcentral. Lineage: Eukaryota; Viridiplantae; Streptophyta; Magnoliopsida; Malvales; Malvaceae.
UUUCUUCACUCUCCUUUUAAGGCUUCAAGCUUUAGUUUGAUUUAGCUUGAAGCCUUUAGAGGAGAGUGAAAAA